This is a long non-coding RNA of Dromaius novaehollandiae (emu), 501 nucleotides long. RefSeq lists it as uncharacterized. The record is from RefSeq and is a predicted model, not a curated record. The transcript is spliced from 3 exons. Lineage: Eukaryota; Metazoa; Chordata; Aves; Casuariiformes; Dromaiidae.
UUUUGGCAGAUUCUGUGUGGAUAUCAUAAGGAUGCCUACUCAUGUGCCAUUCUAACCUUACUCACUACUCUGGACUGGGGCUCCAAUGCUUUAUAGCACCAGAUGCUGUUCUGAUUACAAAGUCACACGUCCUUGUGACUAAGCCACCCUUAGCGAUAUAUUUUGGACGGAGGUGGAAAAAUCUGUCAAAUGAAAACCUAAGUGGGAGCUAAAAGACGACACUGAUCCAUUGAAACAAACCAAGAGAUCUUAAGAGAAAAAAACGGGGAGAGAGCGUGUGGAAGACUUAACUCUUUAAAAGGGAGACAUCCCACUGGAAGAUGGAAAGCCCUUCCCAGACACAACUGGUUAAUCUGGUUUUGUAGAGUUGUGAUGGAGACUGAGCUACCCUCUAUUUGCCAACGAGACACCCUACCCCAGGUGGUCUCCCCAAGUCACCUACCGGACAGAGCAGAUGAGUGUACUUUGAGGCCUUGUAUCUGAGAAAGGUACUGUCAGCAC